This is a small nucleolar RNA of Penaeus monodon (black tiger shrimp), 189 nucleotides long. RefSeq annotates it as small nucleolar RNA SNORA23. Lineage: Eukaryota; Metazoa; Arthropoda; Malacostraca; Decapoda; Penaeidae. The record is from RefSeq and is a predicted model, not a curated record. The transcript has a single exon.
UGUGUGUGUGUGUGUGUGUUUUAUAUGUGUGUUUUGUGUGUGUGUGUGUGUGUGUGGUGUGUGUAUGUACACCACCACACACACAACACACACACACACACACACACACACACACACAUAUAUAUAAUUAAUAAUAUAUAUAUAAUUAUAUAUAUAUAUAUACAUACAUAUACAUACUAUUACACAUAU